Molecule: ribosomal RNA, 500 nt
Filed under: uncultured bacterium
Lineage: Bacteria
Description: partial 16S ribosomal RNA
Rfam family: Bacterial small subunit ribosomal RNA
Source: RNAcentral
AUUGAACGCUGGCGGCAUGCCUUACACAUGCAAGUCGAACGGCAGCACGGGACCAAUCCUGGUGGCGAGUGGCGAACGGGUGAGUAAUGUAUCGGAACGUGCCCAGUCGUGGGGGAUAACGUAGCGAAAGCUACGCUAAUACCGCAUACGAUCUGUGGAUGAAAGCGGGGGACCGUAAGGCCUCGCGCGAUUGGAGCGGCCGAUAUCAGAUUAGGUAGUUGGUGGGGUAAAGGCCUACCAAGCCGACGAUCUGUAGCUGGUCUGAGAGGACGACCAGCCACACUGGGACUGAGACACGGUCCAGACUCCUACGGGAGGCAGCAGUGGGGAAUUUUGGACAAUGGGCGCAAGCCUGAUCCAGCAAUGCCGAGUGCAGGAUGAAGGCCUUCGGGUUGUAAACUGCUUUUGUACGGAGCGAAAAGGCUCUCUCUAAUACAGGGGGCUCAUGACGGUACCGUAAGAAUAAGCACCGGCUAACUACGUGCCAGCCGCCGCCGUAA